GUCUCCGUAGUUCAAUGGAUAGAAUAUUGGAUUCCGGUUCCAACGAUUGGGGUUCGACUCCCCACGGGGAUACAA
Molecule: transfer RNA, 75 nt
Filed under: Bacteroidales bacterium 52_46
Lineage: Bacteria; Pseudomonadati; Bacteroidota; Bacteroidia; Bacteroidales
Also listed under: 5 other names
Description: tRNA-Arg
Rfam family: tRNA
About the family: Transfer RNA (tRNA) molecules are approximately 80 nucleotides in length. Their secondary structure includes four short double-helical elements and three loops (D, anti-codon, and T loops). Further hydrogen bonds mediate the characteristic L-shaped molecular structure. tRNAs have two regions of fundamental functional importance: the anti-codon, which is responsible for specific mRNA codon recognition, and the 3' end, to which the tRNAs corresponding amino acid is attached (by aminoacyl-tRNA synthetases). tRNAs cope with the degeneracy of the genetic code in two manners: having more than one tRNA (with a specific anti-codon) for a particular amino acid; and 'wobble' base-pairing, i.e. permitting non-standard base-pairing at the 3rd anti-codon position.
Source: RNAcentral